Molecule: ribosomal RNA, 471 nt
Filed under: uncultured bacterium
Lineage: Bacteria
Description: bacterial SSU rRNA
Rfam family: Bacterial small subunit ribosomal RNA
Source: RNAcentral
UCGGGAAUUUUGGGCAAUGGGCGAAAGCCUGACCCAGCCAUGCCGCGUGUGUGAAGAAGGUCUUCGGAUUGUAAAGCACUUUAAGUUGGGAGGAAGGGCAGUUACCUAAUACGUAUCUGUUUUGACGUUACCGACAGAAUAAGCACCGGCUAACUCUGUGCCAGCAGCCGCGGUAAUACAGAGGGUGCAAACGUUAAUCGGAAUUACUGGGCGUAAAGCGCGCGUAGGUGGUUUGUUAAGUUGGAUGUGAAAUCCCCGGGCUCAACCUGGGAACUGCCUUCAAAACUGGCGACCUGGGCCUAAGUAGAGGCAAGUGGAAUUGCGAGUGUAGAGGUGAAAUUCGUAGAUAUUCGCAGGAACACCAGUGGCGAAGGCGACUUGCUGGACUUAUGGUGACGCUGAGACGCGAAAGCGUGGGGAGCAAACAGGAUUAGAUACCCNGUAGUCCCUGAGCGGGCUGGCAAGGCGCAU